GUAGUUUUUUGGCUUUAUGUCAUUUUUCUACAGUGGAGCCUGAAUUCAUAGAUAAAUCAGCUGGUAUGUAAAUUGCUCACUUGUGCGAUACUACCCAAACUGCACUUCUGUUUUAUUGUUGAUUUAUAGGUUUGAUCUGGAACUGCAGACAUUUCCAUGGGAUGUGUCUCGCAUUUGAGCAUCAACGUAGGCAAAAGCAAUCCCAACAAAAACAAGACUGAUUCAAUUCCAUCUUCAAUAGACAACAAGGUUAGUUCCAUAAAGAAGGAAUAUGAUCAAGCCCAAUCUGAGCUCAAUUUGAGUCGUUCAAAGAUGAAAGAAUGUGAUGCUGAGAUCAGUGCCAUUGUCAAGAAGCAACAGAAGCUUCAACAUAAAAUUAGUGAUGCAAAUGUUGAGAGGAAAAAUUGGAAAAUGAGAUUAAGCGAAUGGAGAUGGAACAGAAAGAUUGCUCCCUGAAGGUAGAUAAACUACUAGAAAGGCAUAGUUAGAUUGCAACUGAGAAACAAUUAUUUGGAAAAAGUGGGACAGAUUAUGACUUCUCAUCUCGUAAAUCAAGGGAGGAGCUUGAGAAACUUCAAGUUGAAUAAUCUAGCCUUGAGAAGAGGGUCAACAAAAAAGUUAUGAUAAUGUUCGAGAAAGCUGAAGAUGAAUACAAUGACUUAUUAUCCAAGAAAAUAAUCAUUGAGAAUGAUAAGUCAAAAAUCAAGAAGGUGAUUGAAGAGCUUGAUGAAAAGAAGGAAACACUAAAAUUUACUUGGGUUAAAGUGAACAAGCUGACAAGCUAAAGAAGUCAGUGGAGGAUGAAAUUCAUUUUCUUAAGGGAAGGGUUUCAGAACUUGAAAGUGAUCUUAUGUCGAAGUCCACAGAUGUUACAUCUGCAGUUUCAAGGAAAGAAGAAGCUCUAUCUUCUACA
Long non-coding RNA from Magnolia sinica, 913 nucleotides. RefSeq lists it as uncharacterized. The record is from RefSeq and is a predicted model, not a curated record. The transcript is spliced from 6 exons. Lineage: Eukaryota; Viridiplantae; Streptophyta; Magnoliopsida; Magnoliales; Magnoliaceae.